GCCUGUUUAUCAAAAACAUCGCUCCUUGUUCAAUAAAAAAUAGGGAGUCGGACCUGCCCAGUGAGGUUUUAACGGCCGCGGUACUCUGACCGUGCAAAGGUAGCAUAAUAAUUUGCCUUAUAAUUGAAGGCUGGUAUGAAUGGUUUGACGAGAAUGAAGCUGUCUCUUUGCAACUUAAUAAAAAUUUAUUUACGGAUGAAAAAGUCCGUAUGCCAUUAAUAGACAAGAAGACCCUAUCGAGCUUAAAAAGAAUUAGUGGAGCAAAAUUAAAUUAAACUAAAAAGUUAUCUACUAAAAAUUUUGGUUGGGGCGACUAAGGAACAAAUAAAGCUUCCUUAAAUUACAUUUUGCUUAUCAGCUUUUGAUCCGGAGAUUUUUCGAUUACUAAAAUUAGUUACCGUAGGGAUAACAGCAUUAUCUUUUUUGAGAGCUCUUAUCGAAAAAAAGGUUUGUGACCUCGAUGUUGGACCAGAAUGUCCUAAAGAUGCAGCAGUCUUUAAGGGUUGGUCUGUUCGACCAUUAAUAUUCUACGUGAUCUGAGUUCA
Molecule: ribosomal RNA, 545 nt
Filed under: Imbricaria pugnaxa
Lineage: Eukaryota; Metazoa; Mollusca; Gastropoda; Neogastropoda; Mitridae
Description: Subcancilla pugnaxa partial 16S ribosomal RNA
Rfam family: Bacterial large subunit ribosomal RNA
Source: RNAcentral